RNAcentral lists this ribosomal RNA (1325 nucleotides) under metagenome. RNAcentral's name for it is "bacterial LSU rRNA". It matches the Rfam family "Bacterial large subunit ribosomal RNA", at positions 1561 to 2925 of the family's 2925-position model. The record is from RNAcentral.
AGUGGAUGGGGAGCAACCUAGUUGUGCGUGUGUAAAGGUAGUGCCAAGAAAAGCGAUGAUCAUGUUGAAAAUCAAUUCCCGGUACCCGAAACCGACACAGGUGGGCAAGUAGAGAAUACUAAGGGGCGCGAGGUAACUCUCUCCAAGGAACUCGGCAAAAUGACCCCGUAACUUAGGGAGAAGGGGUGCCACCGAGAGGUGGUCGCAGUGAAGAGGCCCAGGCGACUGUUUAGCAAAAACAUAGGUCUCUGCAAACUCGAAAGAGGAGGUAUAGGGGCUGACGCCUGCCCAGUGCCGGAAGGUUAAAGAAGUUGGUCAGUUUUAGGAUGAAGCUAGCGACUGAAGCCCCGGUGAACGGCGGCCGUAACUAUAACGGUCCUAAGGUAGCGAAAUUCCUUGUCGGGUAAGUUCCGACCCGCACGAAAGGCGUAACGAUCUGGGCGCUGUCUCGGAGAGAGGCUCGGCGAAAUAGGAUUGUCUGUGAAGAUACGGACUACCUGCAUUUGGACAGAAAGACCCUAUGAAGCUUUACUAUAGCUUGGAAUUGUGUUCGGGCUUCCUGUGCGCAGGAUAGGUGGGAGGCGUAGAAGGUAUUCUUGUGGGGAUACUGGAGCCAACGGUGAGAUACCACUCUCAGGAGGCUAGAAUUCUAACUUAAUUAAGGACAGUUUCAGGUGGGUAGUUUGACUGGGGCGGUCGCCUCCAAAAAGGUAACGGAGGCGUACAAAGGUUCCCUCAGACUGGUUGGAAAUCAGUCGAAGAGUGCAAAGGCAGAAGGGAGCUUGACUGCGAGAAGUACAGUUCGAGCAGGGUGGAAACACGGUCUUAGUGAUCCGACGGUGCUGUGUGGAAGGGCCGUCGCUCAACGGAUAAAAGUUACUCUAGGAUAACAGGCUGAUCUCCCCCAAGAGUUCACAUCGACGGGGAGGUUUGGCACCUCGAUGUCGGCUCAUCGCAACCUGGGGCGGAAGUACGUCCCAAGGGUUGGGCUGUUCGCCCAUUAAAGCGGUACGUGAGCUGGGUUCAGAACGUCGUGAGACAGUUCGGUCCAUAUCCGAUGUAGGCGUGAGAAUAUUGAGAGGAGCCUUCCUUAGUACGAGAGGACCGGGAAGGACGCACCGCUGGUGUACCUGUUAUGAUGCCAAUUGUAAACGCAGGGUAGCCAAGUGCGGAGAGGAUAACCGCUGAAAGCAUCUAAGUGGGAAGCCCACCUCAAGAUGAGUAUUCUGGUGUAAGGUCGCGGGAAGACGACCCGUAAAUAGGCACGAGGUGGAAGUGCAGAGAUGUAUGAAGCCGAAGUGUACUAAUAGACCGUCGGCUUGACC